GUCUCCCAACCAUAUGAACUUUGCUGACAUAGUAGAAUUUUAGUGUCCAAACCAUAGUACACAUUUUGGUCGCCGGAGGCCAGUAAGGCUAUUUUUGGCCUCCCGUGACACAUGUUUUCAUCGUCAAACAACGAUUUCAUGCCUCCCGUCCGCCACCCAUGAUUUGGCCACGAAGACUGCAAAGGCUGUUUAUGGCCUCCCGUAAGCUAUAGCACACGUUUUCAUGGUCGAGCGACCAUUUUUAUGUACGUGUUCCACCACCCGUGUUUUGGUCCGCAGAGCACCUUAAAGUUGUUCUUGGCCUCCCACGAGCUGUAGCACACAUUUCCGUGGCCAAAGUGCCAAUUUCAUGUAUCCGACCUGCCACCUAUGUUUUACACCGGAGAGGCCGUUACGACAUUUUUUGCCACAAGUGAGCUAUAGCACACGUUUUUAUGGUAACCUAGACCCCGAAUCCAAUCCCUAAACCCUAACCUUAAACACCGACACUAAAAGGUUUUAUUGUCCAAACCAUAGUAAAAUGAAGUUUGAGUCUCCAAACCAUAGUAAGCUUGCAGGCAUGUUAGAAUUUUAGUGUCCAAACCAAAGUACAGGUUUUAGACCCCUUAGGCCCGUAAGGCUAUUUUGGCCUCCCGUGACACAUGUUUUUGUCGUCGAACAGCGAUUUCGUGCCUCCCGUCCGCCACCCAUGAUUUGACCAUUGAGACUAGUAAGGCUGUUUUGGCCUCCCGUGAGCUAUAGCACACGUUUUCAUGGCCCAGCGACCAUUUUUAUGUCCGCGUUCCGCCACACGUGUUUUUGUCCCUAGAGCACCUUAAAGCGGUUCUUGGCCUCCCGCGAGCUAUAUCACACAUUUCCGUGGCCAAACAGCCAAUUUUAUGUAUCCGACCUGCCAUCUUCGUUUUAGACCGGGGAGGCCGUUAUGGCAUUUUUUUGCCACCCGUGAGCUAUAGCACACGAUUUUAUGGAAACCUAGACCCUAAAUCCUAUCCCUAAACCCUAAACCUAAACAUCGACACUAAAGGAUUUUAGUGUCGAAACCAUGGUAAAAUGAAAUUUGAGUCUCCCAACCAUAUGAACUUUGUUGACAUAGUAGAAUUUUAGUGUCCAAACCAUAGUACACAUUUUGGUCGCCGGAGGCCAGUAAGGCUAUUUUUGGCCUCCCGUGACACAUGUUUUCAUCGUCAAACAACGAUUUCAUGCCUCCCGUCCGCCACCCAUGAUUUGGCCACGAAGACUGCAAAGGCUGUUUAUGGCCUCCCGUAAGCUAUAGCACACGUUUUCAUGGUCGAGCGACCUUUUUUAUGUACGAGUUCCACCACCCGCGUUUUGGUCCCCAGAGCACCUUAAAGUUGUUCUUGGCUUCCCACGAGCUGUAGCACACGUUUCCGUGGCCAAAGUGCCAAUUUCAUGUAUCCGACCUGCCACCUACGUUUUACACCGGAGAGGCCGUUACGACAUUUUUUGCCACAAGUGAGCUAUAGCACACGUUUUUAUGGUAAACUAGACCCCGAAUCCAAUCCCUAAACCCUAACCUUAAACACCGACACUAAAAGGUUUUAGUGUCCAAACCAUAGUAAAAUGAAGUUUGAGUCUCCAAACCAU
This 1605-nucleotide long non-coding RNA is filed under the name Zea mays. RNAcentral describes it as "long non-coding RNA (ZMAY_LNC005802)". Lineage: Eukaryota; Viridiplantae; Streptophyta; Magnoliopsida; Poales; Poaceae. The record is from RNAcentral.